GCAUCCUUUACCCUGUCUGGCCUAUGGUUGACUCUACACUGCCUCCCCCCCCUCCUCCCCCACUCCGUUCUCUUCCCCACUGGGCCCCUCUGUCUCCCCAGCAAAUGAACAGGGAGAAACCUACUUUAUACGUUGAAAUUGCUGAAUGAGGCAAUACUUCCUACAGGUUCAGAAAGGGAGUGUGUGCGCUUUGACUUUGAGCUGUUUUUAAAUAAAAAGCUACUUUUUCCACGCCUUUUUGCUGGGGGGAAUCUGAAGCUGUAACAAACUUGUGUCACAAUAAAGGGUUACCUGAACUUACUGCCAGGCUCAGACUCUCAUUGAAGGCUUUGAGCUUCAAAUGGUUUUUGUUUUAAACCGGUUGAUUUCUUUCAGCUUCCUGCACUAAGUUUCCAAUGUCGUGUAUCAGAUGGAGCAGUGAAUGAGUAGCUAGUAUCGUUGGAAAUUGCAAAUAUUUCAGGAGUGCAGGGAACUCGGGACGACCGGAAGGUGUCUUGUCCUCCUGCCAAUCAGAGCACCGCUAUUGUCUGAAUUCGGAAGUUGGAUAAUGAGCUUCUGAAGCCCCUGCUGCUGCUCCUGUCUCUCUGAAUGAAGAUUGAGCUUUACCCCAAACUGCAACUUUCUUCCUCUGUCCAACAACUAGUAUUUGAAGAUCUGAAGACGGAAGUUU
Molecule: non-coding RNA, 670 nt
Organism: Chiloscyllium plagiosum (whitespotted bambooshark)
Lineage: Eukaryota; Metazoa; Chordata; Chondrichthyes; Orectolobiformes; Hemiscylliidae
Source: RefSeq, a predicted model, not a curated record